Non-coding RNA from Mycena metata, 89 nucleotides. The record is from the annotation of a GenBank genome assembly. NCBI's taxonomy places the organism in Eukaryota, Fungi, Basidiomycota, Agaricomycetes, Agaricales, Mycenaceae.
GGUCAGGUGGCGGAAUGGUAACGCAUGCGAGAUGAAUAGCACCUGCAACGUUUACUCGCGAGGUCUCCGUUCGAUUCGGGGUCUGGCCU